RNAcentral lists this ribosomal RNA (245 nucleotides) under uncultured bacterium. RNAcentral describes it as "partial 16S ribosomal RNA". It matches the Rfam family "Bacterial small subunit ribosomal RNA", at positions 524 to 767 of the family's 1533-position model. The record is from RNAcentral.
UACGAGGGGGGCAAGUGUUGUUCGGAAUUACUGGGUGUAAAGGGAGCGCAGGCGGGCCUGCAAGUCAGAGGUGGAAGGCUUACGCUUAACGUAAUGCAUUGCCUUUGAAACUGCAGGUCUUGAGUGUUGGAGAGGGUAACGGAAUUCCAGGUGUAGCGGUGGAAUGCGUAGAUAUCUGGAAGAACACCAGUUGCGAAGGCGGUUACCUGGCCAAACACUGACGCUCAGGCUCGAAAGCUGGGGGA